CCAGAGAUUCAAUGAUGAAUAAUUACAUUUUUCAUAUUAAAAAAAUCAUCAAAACACAAAGUAACUCCCAAAAUUCAGUUAUGCACAAUAUCAAUAUAAUAAAAGAAUUCUAAUAAGCUAACUAUACUUCACUCUAUUUCUGAGAGCUGCUCAAAUACAGUUCUGUCUGAAUAACAUGUCAUCUGCUCCAUUCCUCACUUCAGGCUAAAAGAACAAUACUACACCCCAAAUGCACCGUGACAAAAAUGACAAUGGAGGUAUAUGUCUGUGCAAACAAGACUUCAAAAUCUCUAGACACAUCCAAACCGUGUUCUUUGCAUCUACUAUCUGAAGUCUCCAGUUUUCUAAAGUCAGUUCUAUCAAUUCUGGUUUCUAAAGCCUUCAUGGCAACUUUGAAAAGAAAAGUCCUUUUGAUGAAACACCGUUUCCUACUGAACAUACAAAUCACAUAGACAGCUCCUGCCAAGGCAACUGCAGUUUACAGUAUUCUGGAAAGUAAGGGUGAGUCAAGCUUGUAUGGUAAGGGAGUGGACACUGUGUGUGACAAAGCAGUUCACAAAAAAUGCAAAUGGAAUCACAUGAAGGAGGAAGUAUGGCAAACGAGUAUUUGAAAACCUAUCAAAGAAUCAAUGGCAGAAGAGGGACAAUAUCCUGUCUUUCUUUUAUUGAAAGUAACAGGAGACUGGAAGGAUUUAAUUCUUUUUGAGAUAAACAGUAGCAUCCUUUGCCCCCACUUCCUGUACAAUCUUAAGUGUCUAAUCAUGUUGUGUUAGGGGCAUUAUGUACUGAUUAUUUCUGGUAUUUGCUUAUACAAGUUUUUUUUCCCUUUUGUUUUGGGGGUACUUAUUUUUCAGUACUUUUAUUCUUGAUUUGGGGGUUCAGACUGAAAUCAAACAGAACAUUUUCCCCUUCUCCACUUCCAAAAUGCCCUCUAAGUACACUGUUGGAACUUUGGAGAAUUCUUUGAUGACUAUGUGGCAUUUUCAAUGAAUAUUAGUAUAAUUUUCUUUAUUAAAAAAUACCAGAAGCAAAUACUUCCAAAUACAGACAGGCAGAGUGGCUUAACAGAAAUAGUAUGCCUUAGAGACACAAAGAACUAGGGUCAAAUCCCAGGUUUUUAAAUUUAUUUUCGAGGCAAUCUGGGUUGUGACUUGCCCAGAAUUACAUCUCUAAUGAGUGCCUGAGGUUGUAUUUGAACUCAGGUUCUCUAGAUUCCUGGACUGAUGCUCUAUCCAUUGCAAUAAUCUAUAAAAUAAGUUGACCCCUUUCUCUUUUAUUUACUGGUUGUGUUUCACUCAGGACCCUGUGCAAGUCUUUUUGAGCCUCAAUUUCCUUCUUUUUAAAAUGAGAAUAAUACCUGCUUCUUACCAUCUUAGGCUUUCAAGUGGAAAGACUCAUCUUCUCCAUGGGUCAGCAUUUUAUUAUAACGUACACAUUUUCUGAAUACUAUAAGGUGGGCAUUGUGUUAAGUGCUACUGCCCAUUAGAGGUGAAGGCAGAAUAUGGCUUUGAAUAUGUGGAUUUUUUGUUGUUGUAGUUGUUGCUGUUGUUGUUAAGAAUUGGCAAGAAUGAAGCAGUAGAGUCUUUUUGGUAUUCUGAGAAUGGCACAAUUUCAUUAUACUGACAGAAAUAAGUCAAUUCUGGAGGUCACAAGCUCUGUCCAGUCAUUAUUUUACUACAUCUUUGAUGACUCCAAAGGUUGUUUAUGAAAACCUGGUCAAUUCUUUCUAGUAUGUUAUGGGGCAAGACUAAUGAGCCAAGUGAAUUUAUUUUUCUAUUUUGAUAGGGUUUGAUAGGGACUAAAAGGGACUUAUUUUGGUCUCUUUCAGACCAAGUUGACAAAAAUUUUAUUUUAUUUUUUUUUGCACAUUACCUGAAUGACAUAUCUGUGCCCUGACAAUUACUUCCUUGAUCUAUGCUAAACAUACAGAACAGAAGCCUGGAGGUCACUGUCAGCAUAAGACUUGAAGAAAAGGGUGUCAGGGACAUUUCAAGACCUUACACCUUACUAAGGAUUGUAAAUACAUGCCUUCUUGUUUCUAAA
Molecule: long non-coding RNA, 2043 nt
Filed under: Sarcophilus harrisii (Tasmanian devil)
Lineage: Eukaryota; Metazoa; Chordata; Mammalia; Dasyuromorphia; Dasyuridae
Description: lncRNA (ENSSHAG00000030813.1)
Source: RNAcentral